RNAcentral lists this ribosomal RNA (425 nucleotides) under uncultured bacterium. RNAcentral's name for it is "partial 16S ribosomal RNA". It matches the Rfam family "Bacterial small subunit ribosomal RNA", at positions 354 to 796 of the family's 1533-position model. The record is from RNAcentral.
GUAGGGAAUAUUGCGCAAUGGGGGCAACCCUGACGCAGCGACGCCGCGUGGAGGACGAAGUCUUUCGGGAUGUAAACUCCUGUCAGUGGGGACGAUAAUGACGGUACCCACAGAGGAAGCACCGGCUAACUCCGUGCCAGCAGCCGCGGUAAGACGGAGGGUGCAAGCGUUGUUCGGAAUUACUGGGCGUAAAGCGUAUGUAGGCGGCAAGUUAAGUUCAAUGUUAAAGCCCACGGCUCAACCGUGGAGAUGCAUUGAAUACUGGCUAGCUAGAGGGUGUUAGAGGAAGACGGAAUUCCCAGUGUAGCGGUGAAAUGCGUAGAUAUUGGGAGGAACAUCGGUAGCGAAAGCGGUCUUCUGGGACAUACCUGACGCUGAGGUACGAAAGCGUGGGGAGCAAACGGGAUUAGAAACCCUUGUAGUCC